Molecule: small nuclear RNA, 104 nt
Organism: Loxodonta africana (African savanna elephant)
Lineage: Eukaryota; Metazoa; Chordata; Mammalia; Proboscidea; Elephantidae
Source: Ensembl
AAGUAUAUUGUUACUUCAGUGGUGAAAUUGGAAUAAUACAGAGAAGAUUAGCAUGGACCCUGCUCAACGAUGACAUGAAAAUUCAUGAAGCAUUCCAUAUUUUU